RNAcentral lists this unclassified non-coding RNA (747 nucleotides) under Hevea brasiliensis (rubber tree). Lineage: Eukaryota; Viridiplantae; Streptophyta; Magnoliopsida; Malpighiales; Euphorbiaceae. The record is from RNAcentral.
GUGGAACAAAUGUGUUUUCAUUUGUUGGUAGUGGUGAUUCUCUUCACCUUUUGUCAUGAUGACUAGAGUGGUUUCUCUACCCUAAAAGACUGCUUUCCUGACUUGCUUGUAUCAGCAAAAGAGGGAUGCUUUGAGAUUGAUGUCCUUGUUUGCAAUUACCUUUAAGAAGGUUGAUUUGUGAUUGCACCAAUUGUGAAGAAAACCUAAGAUGGGUAGGUUGUCAUCUUUUCUACUUGAUCUUUCGUAGGAGAUAAUGAUGGUCAGGUAAAGCAGAGAGAAUUUAGAUUGCUUCAACUUGAAAUGCUAAUAUAGGAUCAUUGUUGGAGAGACUGUGCAAGGGAACUAGAGAGAAUCAUAGGAUGAUGCUUGCACCAUCCAAAGAUACUGUUUUGCCAAUAACCUAAAGGGAAAGGAUUUUGACAAUCUACAAUUUUGAAAUGGGGGAGAAAAACCUUGGAAAAGCAAAUUCUGAAACAGAUAUCAAUCUACUAGAAUGUGGGUGGAGUAAAAGCAAUAGAAACUGGCUUUUUUUUUUUUCAGUUGAAGAAGCUGUCAAGCAGUUGCAGGCUCAAUACUGAGGAAGAGAUUUGUGUCUGGAAUUUAACCAAAGUAAUUGUUACAAUGGACAGUUUUCCAGUGAUACUAAUAAUGAUGUAAAUUUGGUUGAUUCUAUCUUGUAAAUAAUUUACUUUUGUAUUCAACCCUUGAUCCCUUAUACAGUUAUUUUUAUCCAAAAAAAACUGUAUA